Molecule: ribosomal RNA, 429 nt
Filed under: uncultured bacterium
Lineage: Bacteria
Description: bacterial SSU rRNA
Rfam family: Bacterial small subunit ribosomal RNA
Source: RNAcentral
UGGGGAAUUUUGCGCAAUGGGGGAAACCCUGACGCAGCAACGCCGCGUGAGUGAUGAAGGCCUUCGGGUCGUAAAGCUCUGUCAGAGGGGAAGAAAUGCAGGGGUGCUAAUAUCAUCUUUGCUUGACGGUACCCUCAAAGGAAGCACCGGCUAACUCCGUGCCAGCAGCCGCGGUAAUACGGAGGGUGCGAGCGUUGUUCGGAAUUAUUGGGCGUAAAGCGCGUGUAGGCGGUUUGAUAAGUCUGAUGUGAAAGCCCCGGGCUCAACCUGGGAAGUGCAUUGGAAACUGUCAGACUUGAAUACGGGAGAGAGUAGUGGAAUUCCUAGUGUAGGAGUGAAAUCCGUAGAUAUUGGGAGGAACACCGGUGGCGAAGGCGGCUACCUGGACCGAUAUUGACGCUGAGACGCGAAAGCGUGGGGAGCAAACAG